Molecule: ribosomal RNA, 380 nt
Filed under: uncultured archaeon
Lineage: Archaea
Description: bacterial SSU rRNA
Rfam family: Archaeal small subunit ribosomal RNA
Source: RNAcentral
GGACCUGACUGCUAUCGGAUUGAUACUAAGCCAUGCGAGUCAUUGUAGUAAUACAAGGCAGACGGCUCAGUAACGCGUAGUCAACCUAACCUAUGGACGGGAAUAACCUCGGGAAACUGAGUAUAAUGUCCGAUAGAACAUUAUGCCUGGAAUGGUUUAUGUUCCAAAUGAUUUAUCGCCGUAGGAUGGGACUGCGGCCUAUCAGUUUGUUGGUGAGGUAAUGGCCCACCAAGACUAUUACAGGUACGGGCUCUGAGAGGAGUGGCCCGGAGAUGGGUACUGAGACACGGACCCAGGCCCUAUGGGGCGCAGCAGGCGAGAAAACUUUGCAAUGUGCGAAAGCACGACAAGGUUAAUCCGAGUGGUUUCUGCUAAAGGAA